CCUACGGGAGGCAGCAGUGAGGAAUAUUGGUCACUGGGCGCGAGCCUGAACCAGCCAAGUAGCGUGAAGGAUGACUGCCCUACGGGUUGUAAACUUCUUUUAUCAAGGAAUAAAGUGAGGCACGUGUGCCUUUUUGUAUGUACUUUAUGAAUAAGGAUCGGCUAACUCCGUGCCAGCAGCCGCGGUGAUACGGAGGAUCCGAGCGUUAUCCGGAUUUAUUGGGUUUAAUGGGUGCGUAGAUGGGUUGUUAAGUCAGUUGGGAAAUUUUGCGGCUCAACCGUAAAAUUGCAAUUGAUACUGGUAGUCUUGAGUACAGGUGAGGUAGGCGGAAUGCGUGGUGUAGCGGUGAAAGGCAUAGAUAUCACGAAGAACUCCGAUUGCGAAGGCAGCUUACUAAACUGCCACUGACAUUGAUGCUCGAAAGUGUGGGUAUCAAACAGGAUUAGAUACCCGGGUAGUC
This 460-nucleotide ribosomal RNA is filed under the name uncultured bacterium. RNAcentral's name for it is "partial 16S ribosomal RNA". It matches the Rfam family "Bacterial small subunit ribosomal RNA", at positions 338 to 795 of the family's 1533-position model. The record is from RNAcentral.